UGUCUUUAGAGGGGUGGAGGAAAGAAAGGACGGAAGGAAGAAAGUAAUGCCGGGUGGUGUGACGUCAAAUGUAUUGUCUCUGGUCAUAAUCGGUCGCGGUUGAUUUGAAUGCCAGCCAGUUGGUGUGUGAACUGCGAAGAACAGAGCUGGAACACUUCCUCCGAUUUCAAACAAAAUUACCCUUUCUAAUUUCGGAAAUCAAGUCAAAACUGCUGCCCAGCAGAAGAUGUUUGUCCCUUGAGCUCGCCCCAUGAGAUGUGAAAGAGAGACGAUGUUUGUCCCUUGAGCUCGCCCCAUGAGAUGUGAAAGAGAGACGAUGUUUGUCCCUUGAGCUCGCCCCAUCAGAUGUGAAAGCGAGACGAUGUUUGUCCCUUGAGCUCGCCCCAUCAGAUGUGAAAGCGAGACGAUGUUUGUCCCUUGAGCUCGCCCAAUCAGAUGUGAAAGCGAGACAGAGUGAUUAAAGUCUUCACAGUGACGAGGUGGCAGUGACCAGUUAAAAAAGGGCCAGAACGACUGACCCUGUCGAUGUACACAAGCCUCGAGGCCAGGGGAGACUAACUGCCUCCAACGACUGACCCCACUCGAUGGACACAAGCCUCGAGGCCAGGGGAGACCAACUGCCUCCAACGACUGACCCCACUUGUCGACUCGAUAUACACAAGCCUCGGGGCCAGAGGAGACCAACUGCCUCCAACGACUGACCCCACUCGAUGGACACAAGCUCUCGUGACAAGACCUCCUCAACCGAGAGUAUACUGAUAAAUCGAUCAGGAUGAAUCGGUGUAAUACGCUACAAAUCCAAGAUAUUGAAAGUCUUUGGUAUCAGUAGAACCAUAUCCAUUCAAAAACAAUAAAGGACUCUUUUUUCAGGGGAGCAUUCCAAACUGCUACACUUGGAUACGAAUUCUACCAAACUGGAGCGCCACCUGUUCCCACACUAAUUUCGGCACUGAGGCGAGUUUGUGUGCGAGUUUGACGGCUUUUGUUGGAAAUCUUUUUGUUAAACCGAUCAGGGUUAUUGGUGAUCAAGACACUAACUUAUUGAGUGAA
Lineus longissimus is the source of this 1050-nucleotide long non-coding RNA. RefSeq lists it as uncharacterized. The record is from RefSeq and is a predicted model, not a curated record. NCBI's taxonomy places the organism in Eukaryota, Metazoa, Nemertea, Pilidiophora, Heteronemertea, Lineidae. The transcript is spliced from 3 exons.